This 436-nucleotide ribosomal RNA is filed under the name uncultured bacterium. Its description in RNAcentral is "partial 16S ribosomal RNA". It matches the Rfam family "Bacterial small subunit ribosomal RNA", at positions 29 to 507 of the family's 1533-position model. The record is from RNAcentral.
AACGAACGCUGGCGGCAUGCCUAACACAUGCAAGUCGAACGAGAUCCUUCGGGGUCUAGUGGCGCACGGGUGCGUAACGCGUGGGAAUCUGCCCUUAGGUUCGGAAUAACAGUUAGAAAUGACUGCUAAUACCGGAUGAUGACGUUAAGUCCAAAGAUUUAUCGCCUGAGGAUGAGCCCGCGUAGGAUUAGCUAGUUGGUGUGGUAAAGGCGCACCAAGGCGACGAUCCUUAGCUGGUCUGAGAGGAUGAUCAGCCACACUGGGACUGAGACACGGCCCAGACUCCUACGGGAGGCAGCAGUGGGGAAUAUUGGACAAGGGGCGCAAGCCUGAUACAGCAAUGCCGCGUGAGUGAUGAAGGCCUUAGGGUUGUAAAGCUCUUUUACCCGGGAUGAUAAUGACAGUACCGGGAGAAUAAGCCCCGGCUAACUCCGUG